AGAGUUUGAUCAUGGCUCAGAACGAACGCUGGCGGCGUGGUUCAGGCAUGCAAGUCGAACGAUCCCCGCAAGGGGAUAGUGGCGGAAGGGUUAGUAACACGUGGGCAAUCUGCCCUCGAGUCGGGGAUAACAUCUCGAAAGAGGUGCUAAUACCCGAUGAUAUUCUCCGGUGGCAUCAUCGGAUUAUCAAAGGUGGCGCAAGCUGCCGCUUGAGGAGGAGCCCGCGGCCUAUCAGCUAGUUGGUGAGGUAACGGCCCACCAAGGCUUUUGACGGGUAGCUGGUCUAAGAGGACGAUCAGCAACAUUGGGACUGAGACACUGCCCAGACUCCUACGGGAGGCUGCAGUCGAGGAUCUUUAGCAAUGCCCGAAAGGGUGACUAUGCGACGCCGCGUGCAGGAUGAAGGCCUUCGGGUUGUAAACUGCUGUCAGGGGGGAAGAAUACCCGUCAUUUAAAAGAUGGCGGAUUGACAUCACCCCCAAAGGAAGCCACGGCUAACUCUGUGCCAGCAGCCGCGGUAAGACAGAGGUGGCAAGCGUUGUUCGGAUUCAUUGGGUGUAAAGGGUCCGUAGGUGGCCCGAUAAGUCCGGCGUGAAAUCCCAGAGCUCAACUCUGGAACUGCGUCGGAAACUAUCGGGCUUGAGUGCCGGAGAGGUAAAGGGAAUUCCAGGUGUAAGGGUGAAAUCUGUAGAUAUCUGGAGGAACACCAGUGGCGAAAGCGCUUUACUGGCCGGUUGCUGACACUGAGGGACGAAAGCAAGGGGAGCAAACAGGAUUAGAUACCCUAGUAGUCC
RNAcentral lists this ribosomal RNA (794 nucleotides) under uncultured bacterium. Its description in RNAcentral is "bacterial SSU rRNA". It matches the Rfam family "Bacterial small subunit ribosomal RNA", at positions 8 to 796 of the family's 1533-position model. The record is from RNAcentral.